AGGACUUUUUAUGUGUAAUAUGCCCUGUCGGGUACUAUGAAUUAAGUAGAGGUUUUGGGUACUUAGACUGUCCCACUUACUACUUUACAUUGUAGCAGAGUGCCAUUUCUUCAGUGCUGUCACAUAAAAAGAUAUAAUAAAAUAUUUACAAAAAUGUGAGGGGUGUACUCACUUUUGUAAGAUACUGUAUGUGUGUGUGUGUUUAUAGUUAUAUAUAUAUAUAAACCCUCAGGGGUUAAAACUUCAGUCAAUUUACAGAUGUAAUUGUUCUUCACCUUUUGGAUUAAAAUCACCAUUUGAAAAUGUUUCAAGUCCUGUGAGUGCACCCGUUAUAAAU
This is a non-coding RNA of Pelobates cultripes (western spadefoot toad), 337 nucleotides long. The record is from the annotation of a GenBank genome assembly. NCBI's taxonomy places the organism in Eukaryota, Metazoa, Chordata, Amphibia, Anura, Pelobatidae.